RNA transcript from Mytilus californianus (California mussel), 1668 nucleotides. RefSeq lists it as uncharacterized. Lineage: Eukaryota; Metazoa; Mollusca; Bivalvia; Mytilida; Mytilidae. The transcript has 7 exons. The record is from RefSeq and is a predicted model, not a curated record.
AAAACUACAGAGAAAAAGAAAGUUGCUGUCCCCUCUCACUAGUUUUCUCCUAGUAGAUUUGUGAAAUUUUUUUCUUACCAUGUCGUCUCCCGGAACUUCAAGAAAACGUCAGAGAGACACUAGUUUGUCAGAGUCCACUGAAGAUUAUGAAGAACUUCCGACCAAACUUAUUUCAUCUGCAACAUCAGCGUGGAAGAUCCAGGACCUCGACCAAAAUUCAAUUUUCUUUGCGGGUGAUUGCUUAACAGUAGAAAGCUUGAUAAAUCUUUUAAAGAAAAGACGUAGUGUACCAGAUGUUGUUCCAAAUAUAGUCAAAACAUUGAUUGAUUUUACUAAAGAAUGCUUAAACUUUACAAUUGAUGAGGACACUUGGCAAAUGUGUGAUAUAACUGUUCGACCAGAGCAAGAAAAAGGAAUUGAAAUUCUUAAAGAUACCAAGAAAAAUGUCAGACUUUUUGCAAAUAAGAUAAGAUGUGAGCAAUCAGAAUAUCUUGAUGAAGAACCACUCAAUCGAGAACUGUUUGAAAGAUGGUACUGCAAAGUUGUGGAUUUUCUUGACCAGGCAGUUCAGUUGUUAAACUUGUUAAUCAAUGAGGCUUUUGAUGAUAUUGAAAACAAGAAACAAACAAGUCCUUUUCAUAUUAAAGAAGCUUCAUUUACCUAUCUUUUUAUGAAGUUUACAGAAAUAUGCUUUCUUACUCCAGAGUAAGUAGUUUUUAAUUGGUGAAGGAGAUAAAACUAAUUUAUGGAUUAGAAACAAGAAAGUUGGAAGUCUUCCUGAUGUACGUUACUGGCAACAGUCAUCCAUACCAAACAGAAAUGUAUUAAUGAUGCUAGCAGAGGUUAAAAGUACAGCUUUAAAGACUUCAGAAGAUACUGUAGAGAGUGAAGAAUUCAGUUCAACUGAAGAUAUAAGUACAACUGACAGCACAAGCCCAAGCUAUCAUAAGAAGCCAGAAAAAUCACCAUGGAUUCACAGUAAAAUUCAUCCAGAUGUUUUAGCACAGUUUGGUCAUGAAAUGCUUGCUGAAUGUCAUAACUCAAUAUUUGUUCCAGAAACACUUGGCAUCAUGUGCAUGAAAACAAAGAUAAUCUUCUAUUACCUUCAGCUGUCCAAUAAACAUUACAGGGACCUUAAAGGAUUCGAACCAGGUGCUGUGGAAAACAUGUGUUCACAUAUAAAAUACACUCAAAUAUUUGAUAUAAUGAAAGCAGAAGACAGAAAUCAGUUACUUGAAGUCUUCUUCUGGUUAGGUUGUUUGCAGAAAAGAGGAUUACAGAGCCAUUAUCUUGUUACUUGAUCAUGAAAAAGACAAAAAGGAAAUUGAGCCAUUUACAAGAUAGGUAAUUCCCUAGUCAAGACUGCAAAGUCAGCACACAAGCUGAUCUAGCUGAGGAGGAUUUUAUUUGUAUUAUGAAGCAUGGUGUCUCUGCUUCAUUAUUCGAUUGAGGACUUGUUGAACUGUUGAGUUUCAAAUAUUCUCAGUUGAAAGAACAAAAUGGAAGAAAGCAUGGUGUAUGCAUAAAAUAGAACUAUUUGCAUAAGCUGACAUAUAAUCAUAAGAGAUUGGAACUUAUAUUAACAUAAAUUUUCUUUUUUUAUUAUUCUUUAUCUUUAUUGGUUGUUAAUUACAAAAGUAUGAUUAAAUUGAUUUAUAGACACUUAAA